Long non-coding RNA from Marmota monax (woodchuck), 753 nucleotides. RefSeq lists it as uncharacterized. NCBI's taxonomy places the organism in Eukaryota, Metazoa, Chordata, Mammalia, Rodentia, Sciuridae. The transcript has 2 exons. The record is from RefSeq and is a predicted model, not a curated record.
CGGGCAGCGGGCGCAGAAGAUCCUAUGAUUGCUGAGCCAGAGAUCCUGUGAAGGCACCUCCUGGAACCCUCGCCGUUCUGCUGGCUCGGUGUCCGGUAAAGUGAAGCCUACGUGUUUGGAAAUAUUGACCCACAGCGCUCAGCUCCUAAUCCCCAGCAGGCGGAGCAGUGGACUUCCAUUCUUUUAGUCAUAGGCCAACCGGUCUGGAGACCUUAGUGGCUGCAUUGCAAUGGAGUGGCUGAGAGAAAACCUUUGAAAAUAACUCCUACUUUCUUAAGAUGCCUGAAGGUGACAGCUCUGCACCUGUCAUGGAGGGUGAAUUCAUCCCCAGGCAGUACUUGAACUUCACGAGUUUCACAUCGUGCAGUAACCUUAGCAAUUUUCUUCUGGAAAAGAGAUCAAGACUAGAAACCUGGCAUAGGUAACACAUAUAUACAGAUGCAUUUUAAGAAUCUGAAACUCCUGCUGACGCUUGCCUGAAGUUCCAGCUACUCAGGAGGCUGGGACAGGAGGAUCACUUGAGUCCCAGAGUGCCAGGUGUGCCUGAGCAACGUAGAAUGACCCCAUCUCAAACAACAACGAAACACUUAAGAUCUGUUUCAUGAUAUUUGUGAGAUAUAUCUUUGCCCUCAAACCUAUUUAAACCCACCUUAGCGUGUGUUUGAUUUUUAUUUACCAUGACUAAUAAGGACAUUUAUGCAGUAAUAAUGAAACAUAAUAAAACAUGGGUGUGGUACUGGGCCUGUCAUUAAA